AGCAGUAUGGUGUAUCGAAGCACACGGAGUCAAUAUAGGAAGACGCGGGCGACGAAGAACUUUCACCCCGAGGUCCUUGUUCGAAUCAAGGUGCUGCUC
Molecule: non-coding RNA, 99 nt
Organism: Mycena metata
Lineage: Eukaryota; Fungi; Basidiomycota; Agaricomycetes; Agaricales; Mycenaceae
Source: the annotation of a GenBank genome assembly